AUCUACGGCCAUACCACCCUGAACACACCCGAUCUCGUCUGAUCUUGGAAGCUAAGCAGGGUCGGGCCUGGUUAGUACUUGGAUGGGAGAAAUCAACAGGGUAGGGGGAGAUA
Molecule: ribosomal RNA, 113 nt
Organism: Erinaceus europaeus (western European hedgehog)
Lineage: Eukaryota; Metazoa; Chordata; Mammalia; Eulipotyphla; Erinaceidae
Source: Ensembl